GGCAACGUGUCCGAGUGGUUAUGGAGCUGCACUCGAAAUGCAGUGGCUUCGGCCGCGUAGGUUCGAAUCCUGCCGUUGUCG
Molecule: transfer RNA, 81 nt
Filed under: Fusarium vanettenii 77-13-4
Lineage: Eukaryota; Fungi; Ascomycota; Sordariomycetes; Hypocreales; Nectriaceae
Description: tRNA-Ser (CGA) (tRNA-Ser-CGA-1-1)
Rfam family: tRNA
About the family: Transfer RNA (tRNA) molecules are approximately 80 nucleotides in length. Their secondary structure includes four short double-helical elements and three loops (D, anti-codon, and T loops).
Source: RNAcentral